RNAcentral lists this ribosomal RNA (342 nucleotides) under Triticum aestivum (bread wheat). RNAcentral describes it as "partial small subunit ribosomal RNA". Lineage: Eukaryota; Viridiplantae; Streptophyta; Magnoliopsida; Poales; Poaceae. The record is from RNAcentral.
AUGAAAAUCCAAGAAGGACGGGGAGGAUUGAUCUAUAUAUCUUUGCCAUUCAGCUUGAAAAAGUAUGUUCCGUCUAGGACAGAGAACCAUGAUUAUCACCACUGUUGGAGGAAAAAGCUAGAGCAAUUAUGUUUCUACUUUCAUGCAUUAUGGUUGUCUAUUCUGGGAAGGAUAGAGUUAAAUGGAGUUAGUAAGACCAUAUUUGAUGCUGAUCAUAAGAUACUAACGGGCUCCAUGGCUAUAUGUCCUAUGCUCCUCUUGACGACAUAUAUGAGGACUCGCAACCCUGAGCCUGGAAGACAACCGUUAAGGCGGUGGUCAUGGGGCAACGAUAGUCGAUAG